Non-coding RNA from Dermacentor andersoni, 649 nucleotides. The record is from RefSeq and is a predicted model, not a curated record. NCBI's taxonomy places the organism in Eukaryota, Metazoa, Arthropoda, Arachnida, Ixodida, Ixodidae.
GAACACGGACAGGUACACGCAGGCCUGCAGUUUCUGUGGUAGUUUCGGAUGUGCGAGCAGCGGCGGCUUCGUCCCGGCUUUCAUCAUUUCCCGCGUGUUUCGCUGCUGGCAGAUCAAACCUUGCAGCCUUGUGCAUUCUCCGGGUCCUGUCAAAGGAUUGCACGGUACUCUCAAGGCCGGGAGGCGUUAUAGAGAGGACUGCUUGUGUGAAUUAACACAGAAUAUCCCACCAAUUCCAGCCGGGAUAUUCUGUGUUCCGAUUUCACAAAUCCUGUCGAGCGCCGAGCGAACGCUUACUCGAAGAGGCCGCUAUUGGCGUCUCGCACGCACCUUUCCCCGCAUUUUUCGGCAAGAGGUGACGGACGCCCCCAAUUCUGAGCAAAAUCUCACAAGUUGCAUUGACUGAAGAUGUCUGACACCGGGAGUUCUUCAUAUUUCUUUCGAUUAUUUCCUCCCAUUUCUCCUCCUUCUUCUACGUCCCUUGUCGCACAUGUUCCUUAUUCGGCGAAGGGAUUCGCACGUCGGGGACAACAUAUGUGUAACAUAUUCCAGGCUGCGCAAACAUCAAGGAAGAGAGGUGUCUAGGAAAGAGAGCAUGCGAACAGUAAAUUAAAACGUCGAAAAAGAGGAACGAAGAUUUCUUGAUGAA